UUCUGGGUCGCAUGACUGCUUGCCGUUGCUCAGCAUCCGGUCUGAUCGUGAUUGGACUGUUUGUUGGGUCGGCGUAGUGGUUGUGCAGCCUUUCUGCCGUGUCUGUUUCGACAGGUGUUGACUGGCUGAUGGGUUCGUCCUGUUGGCUUGUUGACAUGCUUCCGGAUGCCUUUAAACGGGUGUCUGGGGCGGACGGCAUGUUUACUUUGAACAAAUUUGAGUGCUCAAAGCAGGCCUGUGUGCCUGAAAAGUCUUGCAUGGAAUAAUGGAAUAGGACUUCGGUUCUAUUUUGUUGGUUUUCGGAUCCGAAGUAAUGG
Molecule: ribosomal RNA, 317 nt
Filed under: Prosorhynchus crucibulum
Lineage: Eukaryota; Metazoa; Platyhelminthes; Trematoda; Strigeidida; Bucephalidae
Also listed under: 1 other name
Description: bacterial SSU rRNA
Rfam family: Eukaryotic small subunit ribosomal RNA (bases 73-317)
Source: RNAcentral